UACGAAGGGUGCAAGCGUUAAUCGGAAUUACUGGGCGUAAAGGGUGCGUAGGCGGUUCGUUAAGUCUGUUGUGAAAUCCCCGGGCUCAACCUGGGAAUGGCAAUGGAUACUGGCGAGCUAGAGUGUGUCAGAGGAUGGUGGAAUUCCCGGUGUAGCGGUGAAAUGCGUAGAGAUCGGGAGGAACAUCAGUGGCGAAGGCGGCCAUCUGGGACAACACUGACGCUGAAGCACGAAAGCGUGGGGAGCAAACAGG
RNAcentral lists this ribosomal RNA (253 nucleotides) under uncultured bacterium. RNAcentral describes it as "partial 16S ribosomal RNA". It matches the Rfam family "Bacterial small subunit ribosomal RNA", at positions 524 to 776 of the family's 1533-position model. RNAcentral also lists the same sequence under 1 other name. The record is from RNAcentral.